RNAcentral lists this ribosomal RNA (2929 nucleotides) under Salmonella enterica. RNAcentral describes it as "23S ribosomal RNA". It matches the Rfam family "Bacterial large subunit ribosomal RNA". Lineage: Bacteria; Pseudomonadati; Pseudomonadota; Gammaproteobacteria; Enterobacterales; Enterobacteriaceae. The record is from RNAcentral.
GGGUUGUGAGGUUAAGCGACUAAGCGUACACGGUGGAUGCCCUGGCAGUCAGAGGCGAUGAAGGACGUGCUAAUCUGCGAUAAGCGCCGGUAAGGUGAUAUGAACCGUUAUAACCGGCGAUUUCCGAAUGGGGAAACCCAGUGUGACUCGUCACACUAUCAUUAACUGAAUCCAUAGGUUAAUGAGGCGAACCGGGGGAACUGAAACAUCUAAGUACCCCGAGGAAAAGAAAUCAACCGAGAUUCCCCCAGUAGCGGCGAGCGAACGGGGAGGAGCCCAGAGCCUGAAUCAGCAUGUGUGUUAGUGGAAGCGUCUGGAAAGGCGCGCGAUACAGGGUGACAGCCCCGUACACAAAAGCGCAUGUGCUGUGAGCUCGAUGAGUAGGGCGGGACACGUGGUAUCCUGUCUGAAUAUGGGGGGACCAUCCUCCAAGGCUAAAUACUCCUGACUGACCGAUAGUGAACCAGUACCGUGAGGGAAAGGCGAAAAGAACCCCGGCGAGGGGAGUGAAAAAGAACCUGAAACCGUGUACGUACAAGCAGUGGGAGCACAGGUUUACCUGUGUGACUGCGUACCUUUUGUAUAAUGGGUCAGCGACUUAUAUUCUGUAGCAAGGUUAACCGAAUAGGGGAGCCGGAGGGAAACCGAGUCUUAAUUGGGCGUUAAGUUGCAGGGUAUAGACCCGAAACCCGGUGAUCUAGCCAUGGGCAGGUUGAAGGUUGGGUAACACUAACUGGAGGACCGAACCGACUAAUGUUGAAAAAUUAGCGGAUGACCUGUGGCUGGGGGUGAAAGGCCAAUCAAACCGGGAGAUAGCUGGUUCUCCCCGAAAGCUAUUUAGGUAGCGCCUCGUGAACUCAUCUCCGGGGGUAGAGCACUGUUUCGGCUAGGGGGCCAUCCCGGCUUACCAACCCGAUGCAAACUGCGAAUACCGGAGAAUGUUAUUACGGGAGACACACGGCGGGUGCUAACGUCCGUCGUGAAGAGGGAAACAACCCAGACCGCCAGCUAAGGUCCCAAAGUCAUGGUUAAGUGGGAAACGAUGUGGGAAGGCCCAGACAGCCAGGAUGUUGGCUUAGAAGCAGCCAUCAUUUAAAGAAAGCGUAAUAGCUCACUGGUCGAGUCGGCCUGCGCGGAAGAUGUAACGGGGCUAAACCAUGCACCGAAGCUGCGGCAGCGACGCUUAUGCGUUGUUGGGUAGGGGAGCGUUCUGUAAGCCUGUGAAGGUGGCCUGUGAGGGUUGCUGGAGGUAUCAGAAGUGCGAAUGCUGACAUAAGUAACGAUAAAGCGGGUGAAAAGCCCGCUCGCCGGAAGACCAAGGGUUCCUGUCCAACGUUAAUCGGGGCAGGGUGAGUCGACCCCUAAGGCGAGGCCGAAAGGCGUAGUCGAUGGGAAACGGGUUAAUAUUCCCGUACUUGGUGUUACUGCGAAGGGGGGACGGAGAAGGCUAUGUUGGCCGGGCGACGGUUGUCCCGGUUUAAGCGUGUAGGUGUGUGUUCCAGGUAAAUCCGGUUCACUUUAACACUGAGGCGUGACGACGAGGCACUACGGUGCUGAAGCAACAAAUGCCCUGCUUCCAGGAAAAGCCUCUAAGCAUCAGGUAACAUCAAAUCGUACCCCAAACCGACACAGGUGGUCAGGUAGAGAAUACCAAGGCGCUUGAGAGAACUCGGGUGAAGGAACUAGGCAAAAUGGUGCCGUAACUUCGGGAGAAGGCACGCUGACACGUAGGUGAAGUGAUUUACUCACGGAGCUGAAGUCAGUCGAAGAUACCAGCUGGCUGCAACUGUUUAUUAAAAACACAGCACUGUGCAAACACGAAAGUGGACGUAUACGGUGUGACGCCUGCCCGGUGCCGGAAGGUUAAUUGAUGGGGUCAGCGCAAGCGAAGCUCCUGAUCGAAGCCCCGGUAAACGGCGGCCGUAACUAUAACGGUCCUAAGGUAGCGAAAUUCCUUGUCGGGUAAGUUCCGACCUGCACGAAUGGCGUAAUGAUGGCCAGGCUGUCUCCACCCGAGACUCAGUGAAAUUGAACUCGCUGUGAAGAUGCAGUGUACCCGCGGCAAGACGGAAAGACCCCGUGAACCUUUACUAUAGCUUGACACUGAACAUUGAGCCUUGAUGUGUAGGAUAGGUGGGAGGCUUUGAAGUGUGGACGCCAGUCUGCAUGGAGCCGACCUUGAAAUACCACCCUUUAAUGUUUGAUGUUCUAACGUGGACCCGUAAUCCGGGUUGCGGACAGUGUCUGGUGGGUAGUUUGACUGGGGCGGUCUCCUCCUAAAGAGUAACGGAGGAGCACGAAGGUUGGCUAAUCCUGGUCGGACAUCAGGAGGUUAGUGCAAUGGCAUAAGCCAGCUUGACUGCGAGCGUGACGGCGCGAGCAGGUGCGAAAGCAGGUCAUAGUGAUCCGGUGGUUCUGAAUGGAAGGGCCAUCGCUCAACGGAUAAAAGGUACUCCGGGGAUAACAGGCUGAUACCGCCCAAGAGUUCAUAUCGACGGCGGUGUUUGGCACCUCGAUGUCGGCUCAUCACAUCCUGGGGCUGAAGUAGGUCCCAAGGGUAUGGCUGUUCGCCAUUUAAAGUGGUACGCGAGCUGGGUUUAGAACGUCGUGAGACAGUUCGGUCCCUAUCUGCCGUGGGCGCUGGAGAACUGAGGGGGGCUGCUCCUAGUACGAGAGGACCGGAGUGGACGCAUCACUGGUGUUCGGGUUGUCAUGCCAAUGGCACUGCCCGGUAGCUAAAUGCGGAAGAGAUAAGUGCUGAAAGCAUCUAAGCACGAAACUUGCCCCGAGAUGAGUUCUCCCUGAGACUUAGAGUCUCCUGAAGGAACGUUGAAGACGACGACGUUGAUAGGCCGGGUGUGUAAGCGCAGCGAUGCGUUGAGCUAACCGGUACUAAUGAACCGUGAGGCUUAACCUUACAACGCCGAAG